UGGUCAGACCGACCGCUGUACGCUGGCAGACAUAAAACCUGUCUGAUUAGCUCUCUGAUGCCUUAUAGGAGGCAGAGCUGCAUGUGGCUGCGUCUURGUAUCAAAGACGUUAAUGAGUCAGARGGCUGAUCACAGGAGACGCGAUGAAUGAGCGGAUCAGUGAGAGUGCACGGARCUGAGGAACAUCACAGGGACAGACGAGAGGAGGAGGCCCAGAAAUGAGAGAGCGCUGGAUCCAUAGACUGUAUGAUGGGCCCAGAAUGCUAAAUUGAACAGUGAAMCGCAUUGAACAGUCGUCGAUGAGACGGGAGAUUAAAGCUUGUUGCCAGACUCUUCUGUAAAAAUCAAUUAAAACUUACUUAAGAUGUUGUC
Poecilia reticulata (guppy) is the source of this 372-nucleotide non-coding RNA. The record is from RefSeq and is a predicted model, not a curated record. Lineage: Eukaryota; Metazoa; Chordata; Actinopteri; Cyprinodontiformes; Poeciliidae.